AUGGAUAAUGACAAUAAAGAUAGGUGCUAUGCAUGAGUACAUGUACACUGCCAACGACAUGUUGAUUCAUCCAUAAGUGUUGUGAGGUGAUCAGAGUCACACAGUGCAUGUGAUGCAUGAUGGGCAGUCAAUCUAUGAUCAUUAUUUAAUAAUGAUCGAAGACAUUAAAGAGCUUAAAAGGCUCAACAUGACCAUGCAUAAGGAAUUGCUUAUGAAUUUGAUUCUGUGAUCCCUGAUUAGUUUAUAUGGAUAGUUUAUGGUAAACUACCAUAUGAA
RNAcentral lists this long non-coding RNA (276 nucleotides) under Elaeis guineensis (African oil palm). RNAcentral's name for it is "long non-coding RNA (EGUI_LNC040255)". The record is from RNAcentral. Lineage: Eukaryota; Viridiplantae; Streptophyta; Magnoliopsida; Arecales; Arecaceae.